Molecule: long non-coding RNA, 1630 nt
Organism: Pocillopora damicornis (cauliflower coral)
Lineage: Eukaryota; Metazoa; Cnidaria; Anthozoa; Scleractinia; Pocilloporidae
Source: RefSeq, a predicted model, not a curated record
CGCGUGAGAUUUAGCAUGAGUAAAAAAAGCAAAUCUCGAAGAAGAACUCGUUAACUUGAACAAGUGUCUCUUAAAGAAAGACAUUAAAGAAUGCUCUGUCAUGUUCGCCUUAAGUAAAGAAUGAAGAAAGUGUUUAAAAUCCAUUAGACGCGGAAGAGGUACUCUUAAACUAUUUAGUUUAGCACUCUUCUCACUCAUUAGGAGACAAACAUUAGUUUCAUGGUGAAGUAAAAGGAAUUUUUUAUCAGCUGUGAUGAUGAUAGUAAAAUGCAAUGAUAUGAAUAUGAGGUAACUAUUACACAUUAAAAAUUUGGACAUUCAAUACAAUUGUGAACCUGUUUUCAUAAGUUGAACGUGUAAAUUACAUUCUGCGCCUGUAGGGUGCUACAUGCUCAUUGCGAUGAAAAAUGAAAUGAAGAAAUGCUGUUUAAAAAAAGUAAAGAUUGAACCGUUUUGUUUAGAAACACUUGGACGCUACGGGAGGCACUAGCUUUGAGUGGUUUUCUUAGGAAUAUCGUUAUAUGUAAACUUUUCAUAAUUGCUAUACUAAAAAAUCUGGGUAAUGGCACGCAAGCGCCAGAAAAAAUUACGUGCAUGUAAUCACAUUAGGUUUUGCUUUGUAUCUUUCUAGCGCGAUAGAAAACACACUUAUUGAACUGUUCAACUUUUGCAAUAUUUUGUUAAAAUAUCCUCAAAGUAGGUUCUGUUAACUUAGUAAAACCUAAGAGAAGUUACGUGAUGAGUUAAGAUAACAUGCAAACGAAAUUGAGAAUUGAUAGGUAGAUUGUAAUUAGUGAAUCUGAGUGUCUUAAAUUUCGUCAGCAUCAUCGUCAUUAUCAUAAGAGCUAGGCAAUGUUAAUGGAUGGAAAACAAAGCACACUUAGGCUUCGGUUUAUUCAUUGCAAAUUUCUGAUAUUGUUCCAGUUUAAACGUUAAAACCCAGACGAUAUAUGUUAAAACAUAUUUCUCCGAGCUAGCUUUCGUAUCCUCACGAAGUCUAAGAUCAAUUUGGAGUCGAAACAAGGCGCACAGAGUGUUAUGGGCAUUCGAAAAGGCUGUAGCAGUCUCACGUUCUGUCCGUGAAGUACUGCGUUCCCUUUUUUCCCGCUCUUUCUUAGACAACACGUACUAGUAGAAAAAGAAGAGCGACGAAAGGCUUAUGACUUCUUGCUAUCAAAUUACGUUUUUCAGCUUUUCAAGUCAUAAAUAUUUGGAGUUUCUCAGAUAAAUUUCAGAUUACGACAGCUUGAAGACUUAAGCGAGACAAACUGCGUCUUCUUGGUAGAGAUGAGAUUAAUUGACCGCGGGGAUGAAGCUGACCAAGAAUUAGACUUCAAAAGAAUUCGCCGGCUACAAACGUCCUCACCAAGAUGACAUGUGAUUAUAAUCGGAGUUAUAGAAAAACUUAUUGCGCGGUAUGGUUUUGCAUCAGAAAGGAUUUAUAUCUUAUUGUCAGAAGAAGCUGUUAUUGUCGCUGCUGUUGCUUUUUUAUCAACUGGAUCAGAUAAGAUGUGGCAAAACAACUCCAAUCUCCAAUUGAGAGAUCGAAUGCUGCGUUUCUCAGACUUGCAUAGGAUUUUAAACUUAUUAAUAUGGGGUUUCUCGUUAACUUAAAAACGUAGAUCUUUAA